CCCUUAGAUGUCCUGGGCUGCACGCGCGCUACACUGAAGGAAUCAGCGUGCUAAAACCAUUGUCGAAAGGCAUUGGUAAACCCAUUAAAAUCCUACGUGAUUGGGAUCGGGAAUUGCAAUUAUUUCCCUUGAACGAGGAAUUCCCAGUAAGUGUGGGUCAUAAGCUCGCGUUGAUUACGUCCCUGCCCUUUGUACACACCGCCCGUCGCUGCCCGGGACUGAGCCGUUUCGAGAAAAGCGGGGACUGCUGCUGUCGGGGCUUUCGGGCCUUGGCUUCGGUGGAAACCGCUUUAAUCGCAGUGGCUUGAACCGGGCAAAAGUCGUAACA
This 328-nucleotide ribosomal RNA is filed under the name uncultured eukaryote. RNAcentral's name for it is "partial 18S ribosomal RNA". It matches the Rfam family "Eukaryotic small subunit ribosomal RNA", at positions 1470 to 1796 of the family's 1831-position model. The record is from RNAcentral.